GUGGGUGGGAUAGUAUAACAAU
Molecule: microRNA, 22 nt
Filed under: Callorhinchus milii (elephant shark)
Lineage: Eukaryota; Metazoa; Chordata; Chondrichthyes; Chimaeriformes; Callorhinchidae
Description: eshark_mir-2985_3
Source: RNAcentral